Molecule: long non-coding RNA, 282 nt
Filed under: Mytilus galloprovincialis (Mediterranean mussel)
Lineage: Eukaryota; Metazoa; Mollusca; Bivalvia; Mytilida; Mytilidae
Source: RNAcentral
CAUAUGAUUGCCAAUGAGACAACUCUCCACAAGAGACCAAAUGACACAGAAAUAAACAUCUAUAGGUCACUUAGCGGUCUUCAUUAAUGAGCAAAGCCCAUACUGCACAAUCAGCUUUAAAAAGCCCCAAAAUGACAAUGUAAAACAAUCAAGUGAGAAAACAAAAAAUAAAUAAAAAACAAAUAUGUAACACAUAAACAAAAGACAACCACUGUAUUACAGGCUCCUGACUUGGGACAGACACAGAUGCAAUGCACUUUUUCUGUCCUAAUAAAUGACCCA